GAUGAAGAACGUAGCGAAAUGCGAUAAGUAAUGUGAAUUGCAGAAUUCAGUGAAUCAUCGAAUCUUUGAACGCACAUUGCGCCCGCUAGUACUCUAGCGGGCAUGCCUGUUCGAGCGUCAUUUCAACCCUCAAGCCCUGCUUGGUGUUGGGGCCCUACGGCUGCCGUAGGCCCUGAAAGGAAGUGGCGGGCUCGCGACAACUCCGAGCGUAGUAAUUCAUUAUCUCGCUUAGGGUGUUGUGCGGUGCUCCAGCCGUUAAAGACCAUCUUUAACUCAAGGUUGACCUCGGAUCAGGUAGGAAUACCCGCUGAACUUAAGCAUAUCAAUAAGCGGAGGA
RNAcentral lists this unclassified non-coding RNA (337 nucleotides) under soil metagenome. RNAcentral's name for it is "partial contains 5.8S ribosomal RNA, internal transcribed spacer 2, and large subunit ribosomal RNA". The stretch from base 1 to 120 matches the Rfam family "5.8S ribosomal RNA", at positions 35 to 154 of the family's 154-position model. The record is from RNAcentral.